UUUUGAGAAUGAGCUAUCAGCAACUCUAUUGAUGUGGGUGUGACCUGUGAGAGAAGAGAGAAGCGAAAGAAUGAGCCAAUCCUAUAACUAUCCCAGCCUUCACUCUUCCCCUCUUUGGAAUUGGCCGUCCCAAAUGAGUCCUUGAUGUGAAGCUUCCUCUGUUCAUCACCAUCGUCGUCGUCCUCGCACCAGCUGCCAUCUUUAUGUCUUCUUUUUCUUCCUCUUCUUGUUUUCACUCACAGCAA
This is a long non-coding RNA of Telopea speciosissima, 245 nucleotides long. RefSeq lists it as uncharacterized. NCBI's taxonomy places the organism in Eukaryota, Viridiplantae, Streptophyta, Magnoliopsida, Proteales, Proteaceae. The record is from RefSeq and is a predicted model, not a curated record. The transcript is spliced from 3 exons.